CUGAUGGGCGCGUUCGGGUCAAUUGCGGCCUGCAACACCCGAUCUCGCUCCCCGUGCCGUCAAAAAUGUCGGUACAGGAGGGAGAGCGCGUAACCGUCAG
RNAcentral lists this non-coding RNA (100 nucleotides) under unclassified sequences. RNAcentral describes it as "L4-Archaeoglobi ribosomal protein leader". It matches the Rfam family "L4-Archaeoglobi ribosomal protein leades". The record is from RNAcentral.